Molecule: ribosomal RNA, 466 nt
Filed under: Vreelandella stevensii
Lineage: Bacteria; Pseudomonadati; Pseudomonadota; Gammaproteobacteria; Oceanospirillales; Halomonadaceae
Description: partial 16S ribosomal RNA
Rfam family: Bacterial small subunit ribosomal RNA
Source: RNAcentral
CCUACGGGGGGCAGCAGUGGGGAAUAUUGGACAAUGGGGGCAACCCUGAUCCAGCCAUGCCGCGUGUGUGAAGAAGGCCCUCGGGUUGUAAAGCACUUUCAGUGAGGAAGAACGCCUGGUGGUUAAUACCCAUCAGGAAAGACAUCACUCACAGAAGAAGCACCGGCUAACUCCGUGCCAGCAGCCGCGGUAAUACGGAGGGUGCGAGCGUUAAUCGGAAUUACUGGGCGUAAAGCGCGCGUAGGUGGCUUGAUAAGCCGGUUGUGAAAGCCCCGGGCUCAACCUGGGAACGGCAUCCGGAACUGUCAAGCUAGAGUGCAGGAGAGGAAGGUAGAAUUCCCGGUGUAGCGGUGAAAUGCGUAGAGAUCGGGAGGAAUACCAGUGGCGAAGGCGGCCUUCUGGACUGACACUGACACUGAGGUGCGAAAGCGUGGGUAGCAAACAGGAUUUAGAUACCCCUGUAGUC